Molecule: ribosomal RNA, 429 nt
Filed under: bacterium
Lineage: Bacteria
Description: partial 16S ribosomal RNA
Rfam family: Bacterial small subunit ribosomal RNA
Source: RNAcentral
UAGGGAAUCUUCCACAAUGGACGCAAGUCUGAUGGAGCAACGCCGCGUGAGUGAAGAAGGUUUUCGGAUCGUAAAGCUCUGUUGUUGGUGAAGAAGGAUAGAGGCAGUAACUGGUCUUUAUUUGACGGUAAUCAACCAGAAAGUCACGGCUAACUACGUGCCAGCAGCCGCGGUAAUACGUAGGUGGCAAGCGUUGUCCGGAUUUAUUGGGCGUAAAGCGAGCGCAGGCGGAAUGAUAAGUCUGAUGUGAAAGCCCACGGCUCAACCGUGGAACUGCAUCGGAAACUGUCAUUCUUGAGUGCAGAAGAGGAGAGUGGAAUUCCAUGUGUAGCGGAGGAAUGCGUAGAUAUAUGGAAGAACACCAGUGGCGAGGGCGGCUCUCUGGUCUGCAACUGACGCUGAGGCUCGAAAGCAUGGGUAGCGAACAGG